CGCCUCUCGAUAAUCAUUAGAGGUCCAGCCUGCCCAGUGACUCUUGUUCAACGGCCGCGGUAUCCUAACCGUGCGAAGGUAGCGUAAUCACUUGUCCCCUAAAUAGAGACUAGUAUGAAAGGCAUCACGAGGGUUUAACUGUCUCCUCUGUCUAAUCAGUGAAAUUAAUCCCCUCGUGAAAAAGCGAGGAUCCCCCUAUAAGACGAGAAGACCCUAUGGAGCUUAAAACAUCCUACACGUGGCCCCCCCCCUUUUUAAACCCCUCCCCCCACGCUGUUUUUAUGUUUUUGGUUGGGGUGACCACGGAGAAAAUCUCAUCCUCCGUAAUGAAAGGAAUAAUCCUUAACAACAAGCUACAGCUUUAUGUACUAGUACACUAACACCUAUUGACCCAUAAAUUGAUUAAUGAACCAAGUUACCCUAGGGAUAACAGCGCAAUCCACUUCAAGAGCCCCUAUCGACAAGUGGGCUUACGACCUCGAUGUUGGAUCGGGAUACCCUAGUGGUGCAGCCGCUACUAAAGGUUCGUUUGUUCAACGAUUAAAACCCC
RNAcentral lists this ribosomal RNA (550 nucleotides) under Pristimantis reichlei. RNAcentral's name for it is "partial 16S ribosomal RNA". It matches the Rfam family "Bacterial large subunit ribosomal RNA", at positions 1816 to 2597 of the family's 2925-position model. The record is from RNAcentral. Lineage: Eukaryota; Metazoa; Chordata; Amphibia; Anura; Strabomantidae.